AGCCCAUUAGCUAGCUCGCACCCCAAAAUGCAACAAUCCAUUGUAAAUAACCCCUAACCACACCUUAUACCCCUAAGACCAAACCAUUUUUCCCCCUAAGUAUGGGCGACAGAAAAGGAUAAGUCGGAGCAACAGAAACAGUACCGCAAGGGAACGCUGAAAGAGAAAUGAAACAAAUCAGUAAAGCACAAAAAAGUAGAGUUUAAUCCUCGUACCUUUUGCAUCAUGAUUUAGCAAGUAGCAGUCAAGCGAAGAGCACUUUAGUUUGACACCCCGAAACCAAGUGAGCUACUCCAAGACAGCCUCUAAGGGCGCACCCGUCUCUGUGGCAAAAGAGUGGGAAGAUCUUUGAGUAGAGGUGACAGACCUACCGAACUUGGUUAUAGCUGGUUGCCCAGGAAAUGAAUAGGAGUUCAGCCUUUUGCCUUCUUUCCACACAUGCCGGUUACACCGAAAGCAUUUAAGCAGGUCAAAAGAGUUAGUCAAAGGGGGUACAGCCCCUUUGAAAAAGAUACAACUUUACCAGAAGGGUUAAGAUCACAGCACUUAUUAAGGGAACGUGUUCUAGUUGGCCUAAGAGCAGCCACCCAAGCAGAAAGCGUUAAAGCUCAAACACCUCCCCGCCCCUAUUAUCCGGAUCACAUUAAUCUUACCCCCCUAAACAUACUGAGCCUUCCCAUACACCUAUGGGAGAGAUUAUGCUAAUAUGAGUAAUAAGAGAUCCCCGCAUCUCUCCCUGCACAAGUAUAUAUCGGAACGAACUAACACCGACAAUUAACGGCCCCAAGAAAGAGGGAACUGAAAUAUUAUGGCCAGGCCACUAGAAGACCAUCCACCCCCUAACCGUUAACCUUACACCAGAGUGCACUCAAGGAAAGACUAAAAGAAAAAGAAGGAACUCGGCA
RNAcentral lists this ribosomal RNA (905 nucleotides) under Apogon semilineatus (half-lined cardinal). RNAcentral describes it as "partial 16S rRNA". The stretch from base 194 to 905 matches the Rfam family "Bacterial large subunit ribosomal RNA", at positions 568 to 1719 of the family's 2925-position model. Lineage: Eukaryota; Metazoa; Chordata; Actinopteri; Kurtiformes; Apogonidae. The record is from RNAcentral.